RNAcentral lists this ribosomal RNA (403 nucleotides) under uncultured bacterium. RNAcentral's name for it is "partial 16S ribosomal RNA". It matches the Rfam family "Bacterial small subunit ribosomal RNA", at positions 30 to 526 of the family's 1533-position model. The record is from RNAcentral.
AUUGAACGCUGGCGGCAGGCCUAACACAUGCAAGUCGAGCGAGCGGCGGACGGGUGAGUAAUGUAUGGGGACUGCCCGUUAGAGGGGGAUAACUACUGGAAACAGUAUCUAAUACCGCAUACUAUCGGAUAACCCAUAUGGGAUUAGCUAGUAGGUGGGGUAAUGGCUCACCCAGGCGACGAUCCCUAGCUGGUCUGAGAGGAUGAUCAGCCACACUGGAACGGAGACACGGCCCAGACUCCUACGGAGGCAGCAGUGGGGAAUAUUGCACAAUGGGCGCAAGCCUGAUGCAGCCAUGCCGCGUGUAUGAAGAAGGCCGUAGGGUUGUAAAGUACUUUCAGUGGGGAGGCGUUACCGGCAGAAGAAGCACCGGCUAACUCCGUGCCAGCAGCCGCGGUAAUAC